AAAAAGAAACAGGGGUGCCAAAUGAAUUUGGCUGAGAUUAGAACUACGAAAAUGUUCUUGACCCUACAACCUGAUCUGGAUCAUGCCAGCGGAGGGAGUUUUAUUGCUUUUAUU
This is a regulatory RNA element of 114 nucleotides. It matches the Rfam family "TPP riboswitch aptamer (THI element)". From Rfam's summary of the family: Vitamin B(1) in its active form thiamin pyrophosphate (TPP) is an essential coenzyme that is synthesised by coupling of pyrimidine and thiazole moieties in bacteria. The previously detected thiamin-regulatory element, thi box was extended, resulting in a new, highly conserved RNA secondary structure, the THI element, which is widely distributed in eubacteria and also occurs in some archaea. The record is from Rfam.